AGGGGAAUAGCUGGGUAAAAUGGUGAUUCCAUUCCCAGCUUUCCAAGAAAUCUCCAUACUGCUUUCCAAAUUGGCUACACCAAUUUGCAGUCCCACCAGCAAU
This 103-nucleotide microRNA precursor is filed under the name Marmota monax (woodchuck). The record is from RNAcentral. Lineage: Eukaryota; Metazoa; Chordata; Mammalia; Rodentia; Sciuridae.